RNAcentral lists this ribosomal RNA (1197 nucleotides) under Entrophospora walkeri. RNAcentral describes it as "eukaryotic LSU rRNA". The record is from RNAcentral. Lineage: Eukaryota; Fungi; Glomeromycota; Glomeromycetes; Entrophosporales; Entrophosporaceae.
CGCAUCGAUGAAGAACGCAGCGAAUUGCGAUAAGUAAUGUGAAUUGCAGAAAUACGUGAAUCAUCGAAUCUUUGAACGCAUAUUGCACUCUCUGGUAAUCCGGAGAGUAUGCCUGUUUGAGGGUCAGUAAACAAACAUUAUCAUAAAUCAUUGAUUUAUGGAAUUGGGCAUUUAUUUCAAUAUACAAGAUUUAUUGCCUUAAAUUUACGUCGUUAUGAAAUUCUCUCUAAAUGGAGCAAUUAAACAUUCUCGUUUGGUUGGGACAUUUCAUUUACAAAAACUAUUACGAUUUYCACGCGCAAAGACGCUUUUAACAAAGUGGUCUCAGCUACGAUCGUAAGUUAAUUUAACAAAGACCUCAAAUCAGGCAAGAAUACCCGCUGAACUUAAGCAUAUCAAUAAGCGGAGGAAAAGAAACUAACAAGGAUUCCCCUAGUAACGGCGAGUGAAGAGGGAAGAGCUCAAAUUUUAAAUCUAUCUUGUUCUUCAAGGUCGAGUUGUAAUUUGAAGAAGCGUUUUCUUGGAUUUGCAGCCGGUAGAAGUUCCUUGGAACAGGACAUCAUUGAGKGUGACAAUCCCGUCUGUGACCGGUUGCUCGUUCAUCUAUGAUACGCUUUCAAAGAGUCGAGUUGUUUGGGAUUGCAGCUCCAAAUGGGUGGUAAACAUCACCUAAGGCUAAAUAUUGGCGAGAGACCGAUAGCGAACAAGUACCGUGAGGGAAAGAUGAAAAGAACUUUGAAAAGAGAGUUAAAUAGUACGUGAAAUUGUUGAAAGGGAAACGAUUGAAGUCAGUCGUGCUGGCGCGUAAUCAGCCUACGAUUUGUCAAACAAGUAGUGUGGGUGAGCCUCAAAACCGCCAUAUUAUUUGUCUGGUUAAUCGUCGGUGCACUUUCGUGUCGGCUGGUUAACAUCAAUUUCAAAUGUCAUAAAAAGGCUGGAGGGAUGUGGCUCCUUCGGGAGUGUUAUAACCUUUAGCGGAAUGUGGUGUUUGGGAUUGAGGAUUGCAACGAAUACCUUUAGGGCUGUUCCACCUGGUCUCUCUUUGGCAUCUUGGCGGCGACAGCUUGCUGACGUUGUUAAGAGUUGACAUUGAACAGGCUAGAGUGUGGGCAAAUUCGUUAAGGAUGUUAACGUAAUGGCUUUAAACGACCCGUCUUGAAACACGGACCAAGGAGUCUAACAUAUAUGCGAGUGUUC